Molecule: long non-coding RNA, 753 nt
Filed under: Olea europaea subsp. europaea
Lineage: Eukaryota; Viridiplantae; Streptophyta; Magnoliopsida; Lamiales; Oleaceae
Source: RNAcentral
AUGUCUUACAUAAAUAUUUAUGUCUUACAUAUCGCACUAUGAGACUCUUGAUAUUGGCCACUUCGACAAAGUAUAUUUUUUAGAUGGAAGGCCAGGCUAUGGGGUGACAACUUUUCAUAAUCAUUUAUGCCACCUCAAUCAAGGACAACAAAGGCAGCAAUUAUUAGGAUGAGGCAAUGUGUCAUUCAUCCAACGGUAGCUACCUCAUCUUCUACUAUAAAAACUCACACUUAGUGUCAUUUACAUAUAAUCCUAAUUUGCACUUUCAACAGUGACUUAAGCUUGCCACUUUUCUCUCUCCUCGUAUCAUACACAUACUUGUGGUGGUUCUUGUCCAUUGUUCGUCCCAUACCUAAGUAUAUGAGUUGACAAACUUGAUCAUCAAAGUAUCCACGACCACCUCCCCCAUUGUCAAAGAAAGCCAAGUGCACCUAACGCUUGUUCAAGUGUGUAUGAGCUUAAAAUAAGGACAAGAGUGGAGUUGGAUCUAUUGGCCACACUUCUUAGCCGAAAAUUGAGGUCAACAGAAAAGUUAUGGAAAAAUGUGAAAAUUGUUUUUUUUUUUAGUACACGUGAUUGAAAAUGAGCGUCGGAGAGAAGCGUUUCUCAAAUAAUCAAAAUCAAACAAUGCAUAGAGCCUCAAAAAUAAUGCAAAUUUGAACGUCAGUUCGAAACAGUAAUUGCUAAACAUAUUAAUUUAAAUUAGAGGGCACGUAUGUGACUCAAUACUGUAUAUAUAAUGGCAAAUUCGGC